RNAcentral lists this ribosomal RNA (256 nucleotides) under uncultured bacterium. RNAcentral's name for it is "partial 16S ribosomal RNA". It matches the Rfam family "Bacterial small subunit ribosomal RNA", at positions 524 to 777 of the family's 1533-position model. The record is from RNAcentral.
UACGGAGGGUGCAAGCGUUGUCCGGAAUCACUGGGCGUAAAGGGCGCGUAGGCGGCUCAUGAAGGCUGUGGUGAAAGUCCGGGGCUCAACCUCGGAUCAGCCGUGGCGACUCGUGGGCUGGAGCACUGUAGAGGCGGGUGGAAUUCCGGGUGUAGCGGUGGAAUGCGUAGAGAUCCGGAAGAACACCAGUGGCGGAAGGCGGCCCGCUGGGCAGUGGCUGACGCUGAGGCGGCGACAGCGUGGGGAGCAAACGAGG